This 253-nucleotide ribosomal RNA is filed under the name uncultured bacterium. RNAcentral's name for it is "partial 16S ribosomal RNA". It matches the Rfam family "Bacterial small subunit ribosomal RNA", at positions 524 to 776 of the family's 1533-position model. The record is from RNAcentral.
UACAGAGGUCUCGAGCGUUGUUCGGAUUCAUUGGGCGUAAAGGGCGCGUAGGCGGCGGGGUAAGUCUGGUGUGAAAUCUCGGAGCUCAACUCCGAAAUUGCACUGGAUACUGCUCUGCUAGAGGGCUGGAGAGGAGAUCGGAAUUCACGGUGUAGCAGUGAAAUGCGUAGAUAUCUGGAGGAACACCGGUGGCGAAGGCGGCAUCCUGGACCAAUAUUGACGCUGAGGAGCGAAAGCUAGGGGAGCAAACGGG